AACGCACAUUGCGCCCUCUGGUAUUCCGGGGGGCAUGCCUGUUCGAGCGUCAUUACAACCCUCAAGCUCUGCUUGGUAUUGGGCGUCACCGCUGUGGUGCACCCUAAAAUCAGUGGCGGUGUCACCUGGCUCCUAGCGUAGUAAUACUUCUCGCUAUUGAGCUUAGGUGUAUGCUUGCCAUAACUACACUCUCAAGAUUGACCUCGGAUCAGGUAGGGAUACCCGCUGAACUUAA
This 235-nucleotide unclassified non-coding RNA is filed under the name uncultured fungus. RNAcentral describes it as "sequence contains ITS2". The stretch from base 1 to 52 matches the Rfam family "5.8S ribosomal RNA", at positions 103 to 154 of the family's 154-position model. The record is from RNAcentral. Lineage: Eukaryota; Fungi.